This 440-nucleotide ribosomal RNA is filed under the name uncultured bacterium. Its description in RNAcentral is "partial 16S ribosomal RNA". It matches the Rfam family "Bacterial small subunit ribosomal RNA", at positions 338 to 795 of the family's 1533-position model. The record is from RNAcentral.
CCUACGUGGGACAGCAGUGGGGGAUAUUGCACAAUGGGGGGAACCCUGAUGCAGCGACGCCGCGUGGGUGAAGAAGCGCCUCGGCGCGUAAAGCCCUGUCAGCAGGGAAGAAAAUGACGGUACCUGAAGACGAAGCAUCGGCUAACUACGGGCCAGCAGCCGCGGUAAUACGUAGGGGGCCAGCGUUAUCCGGAUUUACUGGGUGGAAAGGGGGCGCAGACGGCGAUGCAAGCCAGGGGUGAAAGCCCGGGGCCCAACCCCGGAACUGCUCUUGGAACUGCGUGGCUGGAGUGCAGGAGGGGCAGGCGGAAUUCCUGGUGUAGCGGUGAAAUGCGUAGAUAUCAGGAGGAACACCGGUGGCGAAGGCGGCCUGCUGGACUGCAACUGACGUUGAGGCCCGAAAGCGUGGGGAGCAAACAGGAUUAGAUACACCAGUAGUC